AGUGAACGCUGGCGGUAGGCCUAACACAUGCAAGUCGAACGGCAGCACAGUAAGAGCUUGCUCUUACGGGUGGCGAGUGGCGGACGGGUGAGGAAUACAUCGGAAUCUACUUUUUCGUGGGGGAUAAUGUAGGGAAACUUACGCUAAUACCGCAUACGACCUACGGGUGAAAGCAGGGGAUCUUCGGACCUUGCGCGAUUGAAUGAGCCGAUGUCGGAUUAGCUAGUUGGCGGGGUAAAGGCCCACCAAGGCGACGAUCCGUAGCUGGUCUGAGAGGAUGAUCAGCCACACUGGAGCUGAGACACGGUCCAGACUCCUACGGGAGGCAGCAGUGGGGAAUAUUGGACAAUGGGCGCAAGCCUGAUCCAGCCAUACCGCGUGGGUGAAGAAGGCCUUCGGGUUGUAAAGCCCUUUUGUUGGGAAAGAAAAGCAGCAGGUUAAUACCCCGCUGUUCUGACGGUACCCAAAGAAUAAGCACCGGCUAACUUCGUG
Molecule: ribosomal RNA, 492 nt
Filed under: uncultured bacterium
Lineage: Bacteria
Description: partial 16S ribosomal RNA
Rfam family: Bacterial small subunit ribosomal RNA
Source: RNAcentral